Molecule: ribosomal RNA, 420 nt
Filed under: bacterium
Lineage: Bacteria
Description: partial 16S ribosomal RNA
Rfam family: Bacterial small subunit ribosomal RNA
Source: RNAcentral
UGGGGGAUAUUGCACAAUGGGCGAAAGCCUGAUGCAGCGACGCCGCGUGGGGGAUGAAGGCUUUCGGGUUGUAAACCUCUUUCGCUAUCGAACAAGGCCCGCUUAGGGUGGGUUGAGGGUAGGUGGAGAAGAAGCGCCGGCUAACUACGUGCCAGCAGCCGCGGUAAUACGUAGGGCGCGAGCGUUGUCCGGAAUUAUUGGGCGUAAAGGGCUUGUAGGCGGCUUGUUGCGCCUGCUGUGAAAACGCGGGGCUUAACUUCGCGCGUGCAGUGGGUACGGGCAGGCUUGAGUGGGGUAGGGGUGACUGGAAUGCCAGGUGUAGCGGUGGAAUGCGCAGAUAUCUGGAGGAACACCGAUGGCGAAGGCAGGUCACUGGGCCAUUACUGACGCUGAGGAGCGAAAGCAUGGGUAGCGAACAGG